Molecule: long non-coding RNA, 660 nt
Filed under: Homo sapiens (human)
Lineage: Eukaryota; Metazoa; Chordata; Mammalia; Primates; Hominidae
Description: novel transcript
Source: RNAcentral
CUUAAGUCACCAGUGCUAUUACACAUGACAUUGGGAAAACUGAGGCUUCCAUUAGCCCUGCAGGGACACAGUUGUGAUAUUCACACCUAGCCAUCUUCUCUACUGUUUUGAAAAAUUAUUGCAAAAGUUUUCAAACAUGCAAAAGGAUAUAAUAUAGUGAACACCUAGACCCAUCACUCAGCACCUCAUUGGAAGUUACCAAGAUUGUAAUCUGCUACUUUUCCCUACCCCACCCUCCAUUUUUUUUCUUUUACUUUUCUCUUUUUUUGAGACAGAGUCUCACUCUGUUGCUCAAAUUAGAGUGCAGGAGUGCAAUUCCAGCCUGGGCAACAAGAGCAAAACUCCAUCCCAAUCAAUCAAUCAAUCAAUAACAAAUCUCAGACCACAUGUCGUUUUAGCCUAUUUCAGUUUGCAUUUCUAAAAAUUAUGGAUAAUUUUCUCAUAUAAACACAGUCUAUUAUCACUUCCCAACUCCCCCUUCAAAUUGAUAAUUCCUGAAGAUCCAAUGCCCAGUCUCUAACCACAUUUCCAUGACUCAAGUGUCUUUUGUAUAGCUGGUGGGUUUCAAUCUGGAUCUAACCAAGAUCCACACAUUCAUCUGAUAGCGCCAUCUCUUAAAUCUCUUCUGGGAUUUAAGGCAGACAGGGAGAGUACCUGACU